UAGGGAAUCUUCCGCAAUGGACGAAAGUCUGACGGAGCAACGCCGCGUGAGCGAAGAAGGUCUUCGGAUCGUAAAGCUCUGUUGUCAGGGAAGAACAAGUACCGUUCGAACAGGGCGGUACCUUGACGGUACCUGACGAGGAAGCCACGGCUAACUACGUGCCAGCAGCCGCGGUAAUACGUAGGUGGCAAGCGUUGUCCGGAAUUAUUGGGCGUAAAGCGCGCGCAGGCGGUUCCUUAAGUCUGAUGUGAAAUCUCGCGGCUCAACCGCGAGCGGCCAUUGGAAACUGGGGAACUUGAGUGCAGGAGAGGGGAGCGGAAUUCCACGUGUAGCGGUGAAAUGCGUAGAGAUGUGGAGGAACACCAGUGGCGAAGGCGGCUCUCUGGUCUGUAACUGACGCUGAGGCGCGAAAGCGUGGGGAGCAAACAGG
RNAcentral lists this ribosomal RNA (430 nucleotides) under Bacillota bacterium. RNAcentral's name for it is "Firmicutes bacterium partial 16S ribosomal RNA". It matches the Rfam family "Bacterial small subunit ribosomal RNA", at positions 355 to 776 of the family's 1533-position model. Lineage: Bacteria; Bacillati; Bacillota. The record is from RNAcentral.